UUACUAUUCUAACUUGGCGCUAUUAACGCUUUCACAACCCAAAAACAUCAAGAAAAGCCUUUCAAUAAAUUGCUCUUCUCUUGGCGAAAGAAAGCGGGGGGCAAAAAGAAUCACGGGACUUAUGUUUCGGGAUCUCUUUGUUUCUUCUUUUUUUCCCGGAGAAUAAUUUUUUAGGACCAAUUACCGUAGUUGCGACUACAACAAUUGUUGUUCAUACCCCCACGAUUUACUUUUUGAAAACUAGUUUUUGGAAUAAUAAUGUUGUAAAAUUUCCCUUUUUCCACCCCGAUUUGUAUUUUAUUUUUCGUUACAAAAUUGGGACUAAUAUUAAGGGCGACAGUUUUUC
RNAcentral lists this small nucleolar RNA (346 nucleotides) under Saccharomyces cerevisiae (brewer's yeast). RNAcentral's name for it is "partial H/ACA box snoRNA snR83". The stretch from base 37 to 342 matches the Rfam family "Small nucleolar RNA snR83". The record is from RNAcentral. Lineage: Eukaryota; Fungi; Ascomycota; Saccharomycetes; Saccharomycetales; Saccharomycetaceae.